GACAGAGGGUGCAAACGUUGUUCGGAAUUACUGGGCGUAAAGCGAGUGUAGGCGGUUUCCUAAGUCAGGUGUGAAAGCCCCGGGCUCAACCCGGGAAGUGCACUUGAAACUGGGAGGCUAGAGUAUCGGAGAGGUUGGUGGAAUUCUCGGUGUAGAGGUGAAAUUCGUAGAUAUCGAGAGGAACACCGGUGGCGAAGGCGGCCAACUGGACGAAUACUGACGCUGAGACUCGAAAGCGUGGGGAGCAAACAGG
Molecule: ribosomal RNA, 253 nt
Filed under: Labilithrix sp.
Lineage: Bacteria; Pseudomonadati; Myxococcota; Polyangiales; Labilitrichaceae
Also listed under: 3 other names
Description: partial 16S ribosomal RNA
Rfam family: Bacterial small subunit ribosomal RNA
Source: RNAcentral